Molecule: ribosomal RNA, 2046 nt
Filed under: human gut metagenome
Description: bacterial LSU rRNA
Rfam family: Bacterial large subunit ribosomal RNA
Source: RNAcentral
GCAAGAUACCACGGGCGCACGGCGGAUGCCUUGGCACAGGGAGCCGAUGAAGGACGCGGCAAGCUGCGAUAAUCCCCGGCGAGGAGCACACAUCCUUCGACCCGGGGGUCUCCGAAUGGGCGAACCCAUCCGUAGCAGUACGGAUAUCCCGACCCCGAACACAUAGGGGCCGGGAGGACAACCCGGGGAACUGAAACAUCUAAGUACCCGGAGGAGAGGAAAUCAAUCUCGAGACUCCCCGAGUAGCGGCGAGCGAAAGGGGACCGAUGGCCAAACCGUCGAGCGGGCAUACCCGGCAGGGGUUCCGCCGACGGGGUUGCAGGGCCGCGCAUCCGGGGGCUGCCGCCCCCGGGCGCAGGUCCGGCUGGGGAGCGGAACGGCAUGGGAGGGCCGGCCGCAGCGGGUGACAGCCCCGUACGCGAACCCAGACCGGACGGCGCGACGCGGUCCCUGAGUAGGGCCGGGCACGUGAAACCCGGUCCGAACCUGGGUGGACCACCAUCCAAGCCUGAGUACUACCCUGUGACCGAUAGCGCACCAGUACCGUGAGGGAAAGGUGAAAAGCACCCCGGGAGGGGAGUGAAACAGUACCUGAAACCGUGCGCCCACGAGCAGUCGGAGCACCCUUGUGGUGUGACGGCGUGCCUUUUGUAGAAUGAGCCAGCGAGUCGCUGGCGCGGGGCGAGGUUAACCGAAAGGGAGCCGGAGCGAAAGCGAGCCUUAACAGGGCGACUUGAGUCCCGCGCCGCGGACGCGAAGCCGGGUGAGCUAUCCGUGGGCAGGCUGAAGCGGGGGUAAGACCCCGUGGAGGGCCGAACGCACGUCGGUUGAAAACGGCGGCGAUGACCUGCGGAUAGGGGUGAAAGGCCAAUCAAACCCGGAGAUAUCUCGUUCUCCCCGAAAUAGCUUUAGGGCUAGCGUCGCGCGUUCACCGCCGGAGGUAGAGCACCGGAUGGACGAGGGGGCUUCGCCGCCUACCGAAUCCAACCGAACUCCGAAUGCCGGCGGCCCAGAGCGCGGCAGUCAGAGCAUGUGGGCUAAGCUGUGUGCUCGAGAGGGAAACAGCCCGGACCGCCCGCUAAGGUCCCCAAGUUCCAGCCGAGUGGCAAAGGAUGUGCGUCCGCCCAGACAACCAGGAUGUUGGCUUAGAAGCAGCCAUCCAUUCAAAGAGUGCGUAACAGCUCACUGGUCGAGUGGACAUGCGCCGACAAUACACGGGGCUAAGCUGGACACCGAAGCGGCGGGAUUUUGAUUUUCAGAAUCGGUAGGGGAGCUUCCCAUGGGCGGUGAAGCCGCCGGGCGACCGGCGGUGGAGCGCAUGGGAGUGAGAAUGCUGGCAUGAGUAGCGAGAGACGAGAGAGUAACUCGUCCGCCGUGAACCCGAGGUUUCCUGGGCAAGGCUAAUCCUCCCAGGGUCAGUCGGGGGCUAAGGCGAGGCCGGGAGGCGUAGCCGACGCGCAGCAGGCAGACAUUCCUGCACCGCGCACGCGGCGCUACGACCGACGGGGCGACGGAUGGGGGUGGCUCGGCGGGGUUCUGGACGUCCCCGUGAUGGAGCGCGGCCCGCGGACCAGGGAAAUCCGGUCCGCAGGAGGGCGAGGCUCCGGACGAAGCGAUCAAGCGAAGCGAGUGAGCCCGAGGUCCCUAGAAAAACCCCUAGGCAGGCGCGUGCGCGCCCGUACCGCAAACCGACACAGGUGGGUGGGUAGAACAUACCGAGGCGAUCGGGUCAACCAUGGUCAAGGAACUCGGCACAAUGGCCCCGUAACUUCGGGAGAAGGGGUGCCCGCGCGUACGUGAACGGACUUGCUCCGGGAGCGGAGGCGGGCCGCAGUGGAGAGGCCCAAGCGACUGUUUACCAAAAACACAGGACUCUGCAGAAGCCGCAAGGCGACGUAUAGGGUCUGACGCCUGCCCGGUGCCGGAAGGUCACGCGGAGGAGUUAGCCGCAAGGCGAAGCCCCGAAGCCAAGCCCCGGUAAACGGCGGCCGUAACUAUAACGGUCCUAAGGUAGCGAAAUUCCUUGUCGGGUAAGUUCCGACCUGC